UCCACCUUCAUGAUCGAAAAGGACACCAGGCCUUUACUUCUGUAGUCAUUCACCACAGGAAGAGUUGCAGAGUAAUGUUAAAUUAAUUCUUAGGAACUCCUGGGUCUUCAGGUCUUCUCUUUCCAGAUGGACGGAUUCUCUUAUGUUCAGUAAAUAACAGUUAGAAAAGUUAGAUGUUCCUACCAAUAGUAAAUAUAAGCCAAAAUCUCAAAUCUAAUACCCUGAUCUUUAGUUUUCAGUGUGAAAAGAGAGAGAGAAAGAGGAAGACCUUGAAAGAGAGAGUGAUAAGAAUGAAUGAGGGGAACUAACAUUCUUUAAAGAAGUGCAGGGAAACACCAGG
Molecule: long non-coding RNA, 340 nt
Filed under: Bos taurus (domestic cattle)
Lineage: Eukaryota; Metazoa; Chordata; Mammalia; Artiodactyla; Bovidae
Description: long non-coding RNA NONBTAT023152
Source: RNAcentral